AUAAUAGGUUUGAUGUGAAUUCAGGCAUGUAAAAGGCUUUAGAUUCUUUGUUAAACAACUUAAGCUUUCCUAUUCCCUUAAUAGGUAUCUUAUCUCCAUUUGCUAUCAUCACAUGUCCAUGAGUAGGUUCUAUAUCCUUAAUUAGUUUCUCAUCACUUAUCAUAUGAUGUGAUGCUCCAGAAUCAACAAUCAAUGGUUUAUCUACUCGUUUAGCAUUAUGACAUAGAUUACUAAGUGAUGAAUGCAUCCUAUCAUCUCUAGCAAUGUGUGCACAUCUAUACUCAUUCCUAGUCUCUAACCGUUCUACUAGUUCUCUAAUCAAGUGAUCAUCCUUAUAUGC
Molecule: long non-coding RNA, 340 nt
Filed under: Brassica napus (rape)
Lineage: Eukaryota; Viridiplantae; Streptophyta; Magnoliopsida; Brassicales; Brassicaceae
Description: long non-coding RNA (BNAP_LNC023154)
Source: RNAcentral